GACGAACGCUGGCGGCGUGCUUAACACAUGCAAGUCGAACGGAAAGGCCCUGCUUUUGUGGGGUGCUCGAGUGGCGAACGGGUGAGUAACACGUGAGUAACCUGCCCUUGACUUUGGGAUAACUUCAGGAAACUGGGGCUAAUACCGGAUAGGAGCUCCUGCUGCAUGGUGGGGGUUGGAAAGUUUCGGCGGUUGGGGAUGGACUCGCGGCUUAUCAGCUUGUUGGUGGGGUAGUGGCUUACCAAGGCUUUGACGGGUAGCCGGCCUGGGAGGGUGACCGGCCACAUUGGGACUGAGGUACGGCCCAGACUCCUACGGGAGGCAGCAGUGGGGAAUAUUGCACAAUGGGCGGAAGCCUGAUGCAGCAACGCCGUGGGCGGGAUGACGGCCUUCGGGUUGUAAACCGCUUUCGCUCAUGACGAAGCUUUGUGUGACGGUAGUGGGUAAAGAAGCACCGGCUAACUACGUG
This 469-nucleotide ribosomal RNA is filed under the name uncultured bacterium. RNAcentral's name for it is "partial 16S ribosomal RNA". It matches the Rfam family "Bacterial small subunit ribosomal RNA", at positions 28 to 507 of the family's 1533-position model. The record is from RNAcentral.